GGGGAUGUAGCUCAAUUGGUAGAGCAUUAAUCCAUGCAUGUUUAAAGGCACAGGGUUCAAUUCCUUGCAUCUCCA
Molecule: transfer RNA, 75 nt
Filed under: Setaria italica (foxtail millet)
Lineage: Eukaryota; Viridiplantae; Streptophyta; Magnoliopsida; Poales; Poaceae
Rfam family: tRNA
About the family: Transfer RNA (tRNA) molecules are approximately 80 nucleotides in length.
Source: Rfam by way of RNAcentral